UAGGGAAUCUUCGGCAAUGGACGAAAGUCUGACCGAGCAACGCCGCGUGAGUGAAGAAGGUUCUCGGAUCGUAAAACUCUGUUGUUAGAGAAGAACAAGGACGUUAGUAACUGAACGUCCCCUGACGGUAUCUAACCAGAAAGCCACGGCUAACUACGUGCCAGCAGCCGCGGUAAUACGUAGGUGGCAAGCGUUGUCCGGAUUUAUUGGGCGUAAAGCGAGCGCAGGCGGUUUCUUAAGUCUGAUGUGAAAGCCCCCGGCUCAACCGGGGAGGGUCAUUGGAAACUGGGAGACUUGAGUGCAGAAGAGGCGAGUGGAAUUCCAUGUGUAGCGGUGAAAUGCGUAGAUAUAUGGAGGAGCACCAGUGGCGAAGGCGGCUCUCUGGUCUGUAACUGACGCUGAGGCUCGAAAGCGUGGGGAGCAAACAGA
RNAcentral lists this ribosomal RNA (429 nucleotides) under Gemmatimonadota bacterium. RNAcentral describes it as "Gemmatimonadetes bacterium partial 16S ribosomal RNA". It matches the Rfam family "Bacterial small subunit ribosomal RNA", at positions 355 to 776 of the family's 1533-position model. Lineage: Bacteria; Pseudomonadati; Gemmatimonadota. The record is from RNAcentral.